GUCCACGCCCUAAACGAUGCAUAUUUGGUGUGGGUCAUUCAGUUGAUCCGUGCCGGAGCUAACGCGUUAAAUAUGCCGCCUGGGGAGUACAGUCGCAAGGCUGAAACUCAAAGGAAUUGACGGGGGCCCCGCACAAGCGGUGGAGCAUGUGGUUCAAUUCGACGCAACGCGAAGAACCUUACCUGGGCUCGAACGGCUGGUUAACGAUCGUGGAAACACGGUUACUCCGCAAGGAGGUCCAGUCGAGGUGCUGCAUGGCUGUCGU
RNAcentral lists this ribosomal RNA (265 nucleotides) under uncultured bacterium. RNAcentral describes it as "partial 16S ribosomal RNA". It matches the Rfam family "Bacterial small subunit ribosomal RNA", at positions 793 to 1055 of the family's 1533-position model. The record is from RNAcentral.